RNAcentral lists this ribosomal RNA (847 nucleotides) under uncultured Bacteroidota bacterium. RNAcentral's name for it is "bacterial SSU rRNA". It matches the Rfam family "Bacterial small subunit ribosomal RNA", at positions 1 to 835 of the family's 1533-position model. Lineage: Bacteria; Pseudomonadati; Bacteroidota. The record is from RNAcentral.
UGGAUCCAGACUUUGAUCAUGGCUCAGGAUGAACGCUAGCUACAGGCUUAACACAUGCAAGUCGAGGGGAAACGAUAGAGAAAGCUUGCUUUUUCUAGGCGUCGACCGGCGCACGGGUGAGUAACGCGUAUCCAACCUGCCCACCACUUGGGGAUAACCUUGCGAAAGUAAGACUAAUACCCAAUGAUAUCUCUAGAAGACAUCUGAAGGAGAUUAAAGAUUCAUCGGUGAUGGAUGGGGAUGCGUCUGAUUAGCUUGUUGGCGGGGUAACGGCCCACCAAGGCUACGAUCAGUAGGGGUUCUGAGAGGAAGGUCCCCCACAUUGGAACUGAGACACGGUCCAAACUCCUACGGGAGGCAGCAGUGAGGAAUAUUGGUCAAUGGGCGAGAGCCUGAACCAGCCAAGUAGCGUGCAGGAUGACGGCCCUAUGGGUUGUAAACUGCUUUUAUAAGGGAAUAAAGUGAGCCUCGUGAGGCUUUUUGCAUGUACCUUAUGAAUAAGGACCGGCUAAUUCCGUGCCAGCAGCCGCGGUAAUACGGAAGGUCCGGGCGUUAUCCGGAUUUAUUGGGUUUAAAGGGAGCGUAGGCCGGAGAUUAAGCGUGUUGUGAAAUGUAGAUGCUCAACAUCUGCACUGCAGCGCGAACUGGUUUCCUUGAGUACGCACAAAGUGGGCGGAAUUCGUGGUGUAGCGGUGAAAUGCUUAGAUAUCACGAAGAACUCCGAUUGCGAAGGCAGCUCACUGGAGCGCAACUGACGCUGAAGCUCGAAAGUGCGGGUAUCGAACAGGAUUAGAUACCCUGGUAGUCCGCACGGUAAACGAUGGAUGCCCGCUGUUGGUCUGAAUAG